Molecule: long non-coding RNA, 303 nt
Filed under: Triticum aestivum (bread wheat)
Lineage: Eukaryota; Viridiplantae; Streptophyta; Magnoliopsida; Poales; Poaceae
Description: long non-coding RNA (TAES_LNC012584)
Source: RNAcentral
CUCGACGGCUGGACUCGAACUGUGAACGUAGAAUAACCCCCCUGUAUAUGCAGCUAGUGUUCAUGUUUAUUUGCUGUCCAGUGCAUGUUUGCAAUAUAUAUGUUGAUGUAAGCAUCAUUGGUAACUUGUAGAUGGUCAUGAAGAUGAACAAAAGAAAAAAGAUGGUUAGGGGAGCUGCUGUUUUUGUUGCACUAGCUGCAAUGGCAGUAAUUGUUUGGGCUAUAGUAAGGAAGAGAAGACCACAUAUUACCUAUGGCCCAAUGCAUGAAAGAGAUCAAAUCAGAUACGAUUAUCUAAACCAAA